GAUGAACGCUGGCGGCGUGCCUAAUACAUGCAAGUCGAGCGAACAGACGAGGAGCUUGCUCCUCUGACGUUAGCGGCGGACGGGUGAGUAACACGUGGAUAACCUACCUAUAAGACUGGGAUAACUUCGGGAAACCGGAGCUAAUACCGGAUAAUAUAUUGAACCGCAUGGUUCAAUAGUGAAAGACGGUUUUGCUGUCACUUAUAGAUGGAUCCGCGCCGCAUUAGCUAGUUGGUAAGGUAACGGCUUACCAAGGCAACGGUGCGUAGCCGACCUGAGAGGGAGAUCGGCCACACUGGAACUGAGACUGGGUCCAGACCCCUACGGGAGGCAGCAGUAGGGAAUCUUCCGAAAUGGGCGAGAGCCUGACGGAGCAACGCCGCGUGAGUGAUGAAGGACUUCGGAUCGUAAAACUCUGUUAGUUGUGAAGAACAAAUAUGUAAGUAACUAUGCACGUCUUGACGGUACCUAAUCAGAAAGCCACGGCUAACUACGUG
This 497-nucleotide ribosomal RNA is filed under the name uncultured bacterium. Its description in RNAcentral is "partial 16S ribosomal RNA". It matches the Rfam family "Bacterial small subunit ribosomal RNA", at positions 28 to 507 of the family's 1533-position model. The record is from RNAcentral.